This 253-nucleotide ribosomal RNA is filed under the name uncultured bacterium. Its description in RNAcentral is "partial 16S ribosomal RNA". It matches the Rfam family "Bacterial small subunit ribosomal RNA", at positions 524 to 775 of the family's 1533-position model. The record is from RNAcentral.
UACAGAGGGUGCGAGCGUUGUCCGGAAUCACUGGGCGUAAAGGGCGCGUAGGUGGUGGCUUAAGCGUGCGGUGAAAGCUCGGGGCUCAACCCCGAGUCGGCCGUGCGAACUGGGCUCACUGGAGCAUAGUAGAGGCAGGUGGAAUUCCGGGUGUAGCGGUGGAAUGCGUAGAGAUCCGGAAGAACACCGGUGGCGAAGGCGGGUCUCUGGGCCGAUACUGACGCUGAGGAGCGAAAGCGUGGGGAGCGAACAG